GAUGAACGCUGGCGGCGUGCCUAAUACAUGCAAGUCGAGCGAACGGACGAGAAGCUUGCUUCUCUGAUGUUAGCGGCGGACGGGUGAGUAACACGUGGAUAACCUACCUAUAAGACUGGGAUAACUUCGGGAAACCGGAGCUAAUACCGGAUAAUAUUUUGAACCGCAUGGUUCAAAAGUGAAAGACGGUCUUGCUGUCACUUAUAGAUGGAUCCGCGCUGCAUUAGCUAGUUGGUAAGGUAACGGCUUACCAAGGCAACGAUGCAUAGCCGACCUGAGAGGGUGAUAGGCCACACUGGAACUGAGACACGGUCCAGACUCCUAAGGGAGGCAGCAGUAGGGAAUCUUCCGCAAUGGGCGAAAGCAUGACGGAGCAACGCCGCGUGAGUGAUGAAGGUCUUCGGAUCGUAAAACUCUGUUAUUAGGGAAGAACAGAUGUGUAAGUAACUGUGCACAUCUUGACGGUACCUAAUCAGAAAGCCACGGCUAACUACGUG
RNAcentral lists this ribosomal RNA (497 nucleotides) under uncultured bacterium. RNAcentral's name for it is "partial 16S ribosomal RNA". It matches the Rfam family "Bacterial small subunit ribosomal RNA", at positions 28 to 507 of the family's 1533-position model. The record is from RNAcentral.